Molecule: ribosomal RNA, 464 nt
Filed under: uncultured bacterium
Lineage: Bacteria
Description: bacterial SSU rRNA
Rfam family: Bacterial small subunit ribosomal RNA
Source: RNAcentral
GUGAACGCUGGCGACGUGGAUAAGGCAUGCAAGUCAAGGGGGCCCGCAAGGGCAACCGGCAGACGAGGUAGUAAUACGUAGGUACGAACCUAGAAGACGGGGAUAGCUCAUCGAAAGAUGGGGUAAUACUCGAUGGACCCUUGCCGCAAGGUGUAGGGUAAAGUCGCAAGACACUUCUUGAUCGGCCUGCGGAGUAUCAGGUAGUUGGUAGGGUAAUGGCCUACCAAGCCUAUGACGCUUAGGGGAGGUGAGAGCCUGACCCCCACCGAUGGAACUGAGAUACGGUCCAUACACCUACGGGUGGCCGCAGCCGAGAAUAUUCGACAAUGCACGAAAGUGUGAUCGAGCGACGUCGCGUGAUUGAUGAAGUCCUUAGGGGCGUAAAGAUCUUUUAUGAGGGAGAAAGUAACAUCGCUUGCGGUGUUAUUGAUGUUACCUCAUGAAUAAGGAGCUGCUAAUCACGU